Molecule: ribosomal RNA, 121 nt
Filed under: Amoeboaphelidium protococcarum
Lineage: Eukaryota; Fungi; Aphelidiomycota; Aphelidea
Source: RNAcentral
AUCGACGAUCAUACCACAAAUGAUCUACCUGAACUCGUUUCGAUCUCAGUAGUCAAGAUCUGUCGGGCUCUAGUAGUACUUUGAUCAGAGAUGGCAAGGGAAUGUAGAGUGUUGUCGAUUC